ACAUACAAAUGCCAUCACAAGGACUUUUUCCAAGGCUUAUAAUGAGGUCGGGCUAACAAGAAAAAUUGGUUUUUCUGGAGCACAAAAUCCUUGAGUCAAGAGAGCUAUUUUAAUAUUCAAAGUUCAAGCACAAACUCUCUUCUUAACCAAUCUCACUCAUUCCCAACUUCUUCCCUUUUCUUUUAUUUUACAUUGAGCUCAUCUUUCAUGCUUUUUCUUUUCUUCUUUUUCUUUUCUCAUGCUUUUUAUUUUAUUCAAGACUUGAGCUCAAUGUCUUUCUUUUGCCUUUCAAAUAUCUCAAACAACCCCAAACUUGAACCUUUUCAAUACCAUACAAUUAUUCUCAACCCAACUCAAGGUAAAUAUUUUAAAAGCACGGGUUUUCAUCCUGUUUAAGGCCAAGGUUCAAAAAGGGUAUAACACAUAGUUUUAAUCACUUUGGGAAAAAAUUUGGCUAAGUAAGGGCUUCCAAAAAUGGCCUUGAUCAUAUGACAUAAGCAUGUAAUUCAAUUAAUUAUAAAGACUCAGGCAAUAUCAUUCAUGCUUCCAUAUGAACAACACAUAUAUCAAUGACCACUUUAGAGCUCAAAACCUCACACAACUAUGCUUUCUCACACAUCAUUC
Molecule: long non-coding RNA, 624 nt
Filed under: Vigna radiata
Lineage: Eukaryota; Viridiplantae; Streptophyta; Magnoliopsida; Fabales; Fabaceae
Description: long non-coding RNA (VRAD_LNC013885)
Source: RNAcentral